Molecule: long non-coding RNA, 3673 nt
Organism: Arachis duranensis
Lineage: Eukaryota; Viridiplantae; Streptophyta; Magnoliopsida; Fabales; Fabaceae
Exons: 3
Source: RefSeq, a predicted model, not a curated record
AAUUAUUUUGUUUAAUCCCCUCCCCAAACCAAAAAUGUCGUCGUUUACCCUUCUCUUCCCAAAAUCCCCCUUCCCUCCCAAAAUCCCCAUUUCCUCGUAUUAGCUAGGUCUUAAUUUAGGAAAAAUAGUGGAAAAAGACAAUCCUAGCCAAUUCCUCUUUCAUUCUUGCUCUCUGGCCUAUACGUCGUGCAAAACCCUUGUCGUCUUGCUUCAAUUGUCUCAAUGUGCCGUCACCGUCGCCACUCCAUCUUCUCAAACGCAGAACCAGAACCAGUUUCUAGUUGCUAGUUAUGCAGAAUCGGUUGCACGAAGUUGCCGCGCCUUUACCGGUCACCAAUUCGUCGCCGCUCUGCCACUCUUUUGUCGCCUCUUUGCUGUGCUUCGUUUCCAUCUUUGCCGCCGUUCCUGGUUGUUGUUCCCAAAGAUAGCGAACGAGGAGUGCAUUUUAGAACGAUUGGUAGCUUUAUUUGUGCAAUGAUGAUUGGCACGUAUGGUUGAUGGUGGCAAGAAGAAGGGUGGAGGUGGAUUUCAAGUGGUGAAGAGAAAGGUGAAAACCAAGUUGAUAGGCAAUGGAGCUUGAUAAAUGAGGUUUGACUUCAUUUUUGUGAUUUUAGGUUUGAUUUCAUUAUAAUAGUUGUCUCUCUUCGACAAUUUUGUCUCUAAUCACCAUCUACGAACUUUAUAAUACAAUCUAAGAAUUUCCAUUUAGAUAUUACUAUUCAUUGAUAACAAAUAAUGCUCGUGUAUUCAACUUUGUUGUGGUAGUUGUCUCUCCUCUGUAACUUUGCCUCUAAUCAUCUAUGAACUUUAUACAAUUUACAAAUCUACCUUUUCAUCUUAUUAUUAAUAAAAGAUAAUUUACACUCAAUUCACCGUACACACACGCUGCCUAUAUAUUGUGUUUGUUGGAUAAAUUAGUUGUUGAUAGGAAGAAAGCUUAGCUUUUUGUUUACUUGAUGCGGUAUAUACUUAGUACUAGCACUGAGUGAAGUUCAUUAUUAUAGAAUCUUGCGAGGUGUAGUUGAUUUAUUAAUGUCCUUCUAUGCCAUCUAAGUCUGCAUAUUUGCAUCUUGAGCAUUAAAUAUUUGCAUAUUCUCUUUUAUUUUAUCACUUAUUUUUAGUGUGCUGGCCAUUUUUAAUAACAUGGAAUGAAAUUAUCCCAAGUAGCAUGAUCCUACUUUUUUGGCACAUGAAUGUUUUAAGGUAGGUGGUGCACGAAAUUGUGAUCUCAAUGGCGCCAACAAUUUGGUACGCACAAUUGUAAUCUCAACUCUUUUUCAUAAUUUCGCACAAUUAACCAGCAAGUGCACUGGGUCGUCCAAGUAAUAAACCUUACGUGAGUAAGGGUUGAUCCCACGGAGAUUGUCGACUUGAAACAAGCUAUGGUCAUCUUGUAAAUCUCAGCCAGGCAUAUUCAAAUGGUUAUGGAGUUUUGAUAAUUAAAAGAUAAAUAAACAUAAAAUAAAGAUAGAGAUACUUAUGUAAUUCAUUGGUGGGAAUUUCAGAUAAGCGUAUGGAGAUGCGUUAUUCCUUCUGAAUCUCUGCUUUCCUACUGUCUUCAUUCAAUCAUUCAUACUCCUUUCCAUGGCAAGCUGUAUGUUGGGGAUCACUGUUGUCAAUGGCUACCUCCCAUCCUCCCAGUGAAAAUGGUCCUCUACGGUUUCUGUACAGCUAAUCAACUGUCGAAUUUCUCGUCUCGGAUGAAAAAUACCAGGCACAGCUACCGUAUGGCUAAUCAGCUGUUGGUUCUCGAUCGUGUCGGAAUAAGAUCCAAUGAUCCUUUUGCGUCUGUCACUACGCCCCACAGUCGCGAGUUUGAAGCUCGUCACAGUCAUCCCCUCCCAGAUCCUACUCGGAAUACCACAGACAAGGUUUAGACUUUCCAGAUCUCAAGAAUGCUGCCAAUUGAUUCUAGCUUAUACCACGAAGGUUCUAAUCUCAGAUUUAGAUGCCCCAUUGUCAGAGGGGAAACAAUGUGAAUCAUUGAUUAGAAACCCAAGAGAUACACACUCUAGCUUUCGCAGAUAGAACGGAAGUGGUUGUUAAGCAUGCGUUCAUAAAUUGAGAAUGGUGAUGAGUAUCACGGAUCAUCACAUUCAUCAGAUUGAAGUGCGAGUGAAUAUCUUAGAAUAAAAAGAAGCUUGAAUUGAAUAUAAGAACAAUAGUACUUUGCAUUAAUACUCGAGGAAUAGCAGAGCUCCAUACCUUAAUCUAUGGUGUGUAGAAACUCCACCGUUGAAAAUACAUAAGUGAUGAAGGUCCAGGCAUGGCCGAAUGGCCAUCCCCCAUAAAAGUCUAAGAUAGCAUAAAACUGAUCAAAGAUUGGUUUAAGGACUAAACGUCCAAAGAUAUGAGUACAAUAGUAAAAAGUCCUAUUUAUACUAAACUAGUUGCUAGGGUUACAGAAAUAAGUAAAUGAUGCAGAAAUCCACUUCCGGGCCCACUUGGUGUGUGCUUGGGCUGAGCAUUGAAGCUUUCAUGUGUAGAGACUUUUCUUGGAGUUAAACGCCAGUUUUUAUGCCAGUUUGGACGUUUAACUACAGCUUCUAUCCUGUUUCUGGCGUUUAACGCCAGAAUAAGGCAGGAAGUUGGCGUUUUAAUGCCAGUUUGCAUCGUUAAAACUCGAGCAAAGUAUGGACUAUUAUAUAUUGCUGGAAAGCCCAGGAUGUUGACUUUCCAACGAAAUUGAGAGCGCACCAUUUGGGCUUCUGUAGCUCUGAAAAAUCUAUUUCGAGUGUAGGGAGGUCAGAAUCCAACAGCAUCUGCAGUCUUUUUUCAGCCUUUGAAUCAGAUUUUUGCUCAGGUUCCUCAAUUUCAGCCAGAAAAUACCUGAAAUCACAGAAAAAUACACAAACUCAUAGUAAAGUCCAAAAAUGUGAAUUUUGCUGAAAAAAUAAUAAAAAUAUACUAAAAAGUAGCUAGAUCCUACUGAAAACUACUUAAAAACAAUGCCAAAAAGCGUAUAAAUUAUCCGCUCAUCACAACACCAAACUUAAAAUGUUUCUUGUCCCCAAGCAACUAAAAAUUAAAUAGGAUAAAAAGAAGGGAAUAUACAAUGAAUCUCACAAUAUCAAUGAAACUCAGUCCCAAUUAGAUGAGCGGGGCUAGUAGCUUUUUGCUUCUGAACAGUUUUGGCAUCUCAUUUUAUCCUUUGAAAUUUAGAAUGAUUGGCAUCUAUAGGAACUCAGAAUUUUAGAUAGUGUUAUUGAUUCUCCUAGUUCAGUAUGUUGAUUCUUGAACACAGCUACUUUAUGAGUCUUGGCCGUGGCCCUAAGCACUUUGUUUUCCAGUAUUACCACCGGAUACAUAAAUGCCACAUACACAUAAUUGGGUGAACCUUUUCAGAUUGUGACUCAGCUUUGCUAAAGUUCCCAGUUAGAGGUGUCCAGAGUUUUUAAGCACACUCUUUUUGCUUUGGAUCACGACUUUAACCACUCAGUCGCAAGCUUUUUACUUAGACCUUCAUGACACAAGCACAUGGUUAGGGACAACUUGAUUUAGCCGCUUAGGCCUGAAUUUUAUUUCCUUGGGCCCUCCUAUCCAUUAAAUCUCAAAGCCUUUGAUCCUUUUUACCCUUGCCUUUUGGUUUAAAGGGCUAUUGGCUUUUUCUGCUUGCUUUUUCUUUUUCUUUUUUUUUUCUUUUUUACCAAAUUUUUUUCGCUACUUUUUUUCU